CACGCGCAGAACACGCGUUAAUAGGCGGUAGGUGGAAGUGCAGUAAUGCAUGCAGCCGAGCCGUACUAAUAGACCGAGGGCUUGACCAC
This 89-nucleotide ribosomal RNA is filed under the name Myxacorys californica WJT36-NPBG1. Its description in RNAcentral is "partial 23S ribosomal RNA". It matches the Rfam family "Bacterial large subunit ribosomal RNA", at positions 2835 to 2925 of the family's 2925-position model. Lineage: Bacteria; Bacillati; Cyanobacteriota; Cyanophyceae; Leptolyngbyales; Leptolyngbyaceae. The record is from RNAcentral.